RNAcentral lists this ribosomal RNA (467 nucleotides) under uncultured bacterium. Its description in RNAcentral is "bacterial SSU rRNA". It matches the Rfam family "Bacterial small subunit ribosomal RNA", at positions 329 to 793 of the family's 1533-position model. The record is from RNAcentral.
UUCCAGACUCCUACGGGAGGCAGCAGUGAGGAAUAUUGGUCAAUGGGCUUACGCCUGAACCAGCCAAGUCGCGUGAGGGAAGACUGCCCUAUGGGUUGUAAACCUCUUUUGUCAGGGAGCAAUUGGCGCUACGUGUAGCGUUAUCGAGAGUACCUGAAGAAAAAGCAUCGGCUAACUCCGUGCCAGCAGCCGCGGUAAUACGGAGGAUGCGAGCGUUAUCCGGAUUUAUUGGGUUUAAAGGGUGCGUAGGCGGGACCUUAAGUCAGCGGUAAAAUUGCGGUGCUCAACGCCGUAGAGCCGUUGAAACUGGGGUUCUUGAGUGAGCGAGAAGUAUGCGGAAUGCGCGGUGUAGCGGUGAAAUGCAUAGAUAUCGCGCAGAACUCCGAUUGCGAAGGCAGCAUGCCGGCUCCACACUGACGCUGAGGCACGAAAGCGUGGGUAUCGAACAGGAUUAGAUACCCGAGUAA